GUACUCUGGCGACACAUGUACUAAAAUUGAAAUGAUACAGUGAAGAUUAGCAUGGCCCCCGAGCAAGGAUGAUUCACAAAUUUGUGAAGUAUUUCAUAAUAAA
Molecule: small nuclear RNA, 103 nt
Organism: Cavia aperea (Brazilian guinea pig)
Lineage: Eukaryota; Metazoa; Chordata; Mammalia; Rodentia; Caviidae
Source: Ensembl